CCCCUCCCUAGCUCCAGGUGGGCUCGUCCCCGGCCCGAGUGCUGUCCCUGUAUAGAGAGGGCGGCGCUCCGGAUACCCCGGCCGGUACCUGGCUGCGAGGGGCGCCGGUGGUCGCAGCACUGGCACGGAGAGCCUACAGGUGGUCUGUGAAGUUGGCGCUCGACUCGAUCCUGCUGGGCGGGUUCGACUCUGACGACGAGCUCCUGGACACGCUGGAGGAGUACAGCACCGACUGGUACAUCGGACUGGACUCGGACCCCGGCUGGCGGCAGGCGGUCCUUCAGCACAAACCGUCACUGUUCUCGCUCGGAUAUGAUGACUCCAGGAACACCUACACGUCGCAUCUGCUGAGUCUGGGCGACCAGACUGUCUCGGUGGGCAGUCUGAGCGCCGAGCUGGUCCGAGGAGUCUGGGCCAGUCUGGCGCUGGAGCUGCUGUACGUCACCAAUGACGACGAGGAGCGGUACAGCAUUCAGGCGCACCCGAUGAUCCUCCGUAACCUGACCGUGCAGGCGGCCGACCCGCCGCUCGGCUACCCCGUCUUCUCCGGGCCGCCCGUGCGCAGCAGCCACGUGUGAGAACCAGUGAGUGCCGCGGGUGAUAUCACGUGUGAUGACAGUCAGCAGCCACGUGUUAUAUACGCAGCAGCCACGAGUGAGUGCCACGUGUGAUGACCGUUAAAGCCACGAGUGAUGUGAUGGCCGUCAGGGCCACGUGUGAUUUCAACACAGCAGCCACGUGUUGGAUAUUCACAGCAGCAACGAGUGAGGACCACCGGGAUCACGUAGCCACUUAUAAUGACUGGAGAACCCACGUGAAAUACUUGCCACUGCUACGUGUAAUAGCUACGUGUGAUAAUGGCCAUCAUUGGUAGAUGUGGUGAACGAAGAAGUGACACACGAUGACCGUCAGUAUCACGUCGUGUUAUAUGAUCACAUCAGUCACCUGUGAUAGCACCAGGGCACCUCGUUGUAAACUGCACUCAGGCUUUUUCGUGAUACCGUCCGUGGCUUUAGGUGACGUGUCAUAUUCAGAACGUGUAAUGACCACUAGUUGUGAUUAUGUAAGAUCUCCACUAUUGUGAUGGCGUGGCGGUGGUACAGGGAAAGGCAGCUGCAGGGAAGGAUUGAGGCAGCCACUGCGACGCGCGGGUUUUUCCACGUGCACACUGUGAUUUCUCACGCGACGCUUCUCGCAUUGUUUCUGUGUGAUUCACUUCACUCGCAGGGAAUAUGGUGACGUUGUUGAGCACUAGUGCGCCUUUGGUCCUGUUGGUAGUUAAUGACAACAAGUAUUGAUCCGAGACCGGCCAGUCGCUAGUCAUGCACUUGUUGAUGUUCGUACAAAACGUGCCCGCUUGAUCUCAAAUCUAGUCACUCAGGGCUGAAGCCAUGUGAGGGGAGCCCGAAUUACACAUAUCCAUUAGUGCACCGCCCACAUAAUACGAUGACGUCAUGACGUUCGUAGUUGGUACACGUCACGCCUGAUGACGUCAUAACUUUGUACACGUCAGCUGAUGUUCGUCGGCACGGUUGCUAAAUGUCUGUUCACGGAAAUUUCGAAAGCGUUCGGCUAUGUAAAAAGUUAUGUAAAAAGCGCUCGCUGUUCGUGAUAUUUGUAUAAUAAGCGCUACAGUUCAACAUUGUUGAGAGAGUUGGCUGCCGUUUAUUGUCAAUAAGCUAGAUUACUGAAGUUGAGUGCGUAAGCUUCGCAAAUCACCGCGAGCGCGCGAUAAUUGUGGUCUUCAUAGUUUUGUGAUCGUGUAAA
This 1767-nucleotide long non-coding RNA is filed under the name Amphibalanus amphitrite. Its description in RNAcentral is "uncharacterized LOC122364387". Lineage: Eukaryota; Metazoa; Arthropoda; Thecostraca; Balanomorpha; Balanidae. The record is from RNAcentral.